RNAcentral lists this ribosomal RNA (267 nucleotides) under uncultured Anaerolineaceae bacterium. RNAcentral's name for it is "partial 16S ribosomal RNA". It matches the Rfam family "Bacterial small subunit ribosomal RNA", at positions 1100 to 1382 of the family's 1533-position model. Lineage: Bacteria; Bacillati; Chloroflexota; Anaerolineae; Anaerolineales; Anaerolineaceae. The record is from RNAcentral.
AACCCUCACUGUGUGUUACAUGUGUCACACGGGACUGCCGGUUUAAGCCGGAGGAAGGCGGGGAUGACGUCAAGUCAGCAUGGCCUUUAUAUCCUGGGCUACACACACGCUACAAUGGUCUGUACAAUAGGUUGCCAAGCCGCGAGGCGGAGCCAAUCCUAAAAGCAGGCCUCAGUUCAGAUUGUAGUCUGCAACCCGACUGCAUGAAGAUGGAGUUGCUAGUAACCGCAGGUCAGCUAUACUGCGGUGAAUACGUUCCCGGGUCUU